RNAcentral lists this long non-coding RNA (265 nucleotides) under Sorghum bicolor (sorghum). Its description in RNAcentral is "long non-coding RNA (SBIC_LNC017699)". Lineage: Eukaryota; Viridiplantae; Streptophyta; Magnoliopsida; Poales; Poaceae. The record is from RNAcentral.
UAGAACCACCUAAAAAUAUUCUACUCCAAAUUAAGGAGAGAAUGGCCAAAAACAUUCUUGUUUUCCUGUGAAAUAAAUGCUCAAGUUAUCUUAGUUACUACCACUUGCUAUUUUAUUUCAAGAGAUGAGUGCUCUAAAAAAAAGAGAUACAAGGAAAUAAAAAGGGGCAAGUGCCCGGAACCUCGAAAGAAAAGAAAAAGUGAGACGAGAGGUAAAAAUGGACAAGUGUAUGACAGUAGAAUUAGGGGUACAAGAUACCCACCUG